This 75-nucleotide transfer RNA is filed under the name Candidatus Solibacter sp. Its description in RNAcentral is "tRNA-Lys". Lineage: Bacteria; Pseudomonadati; Acidobacteriota; Terriglobia; Bryobacterales; Solibacteraceae. The record is from RNAcentral.
GUGCAAUUAAAUAAAAAGCGUACCCCGUAACUUUUAAUCAGGGUGUCCGGGGUUCGAGUCCCCGAUGGCUCACCA